Molecule: ribosomal RNA, 513 nt
Filed under: uncultured bacterium
Lineage: Bacteria
Description: partial 16S ribosomal RNA
Rfam family: Bacterial small subunit ribosomal RNA
Source: RNAcentral
GAUGAACGCUGGCGGCGUGCCUAAUACAUGCAAGUCGAACGCACAGCGAAAGGUGCUUGCACCUUUCAAGUGAGUGGCGAACGGGUGAGUAACACGUGGACAACCUGCCUCAAGGCUGGGGAUAACAUUUGGAAACAGAUGCUAAUACCGAAUAAAACUUAGUGUCGCAUGACACAAAGUUAAAAGGCGCUUUGGCGUCACCUAGAGAUGGAUCCGCGGUGCAUUAGUUAGUUGGUGGGGUAAAGGCCUACCAAGACAAUGAUGCAUAGCCGAUUUGAGAGACUGAUCGGCCACAUUGGGACUGAGACACGGCCCAAACUCCUACGGGAGGCUGCAGUAGGGAAUCUUCCACAAUGGGCGAAAGCCUGAUGGAGCAACGCGGCGUGUGUGAUGAAGGCUUUCGGGUCGUAAAGCACUGUUGUAUGGGAAGAACAGCUAGAAUAGGGAAUGAUUUUAGUUUGACGGUACCAUACCAGAAAGGGACGGCUAAAUACGUGCCAGCAGCCGCCGUAA